This 460-nucleotide ribosomal RNA is filed under the name uncultured bacterium. Its description in RNAcentral is "bacterial SSU rRNA". It matches the Rfam family "Bacterial small subunit ribosomal RNA", at positions 36 to 524 of the family's 1533-position model. The record is from RNAcentral.
CUGACGAUGCUUACACAUGCAAGUCAACUUGAACUUCGGUUUGGGUGGCGGACGGGUGAGUAACGCGUAAAGAACUUGCCUCACAGCUAGGGACAACAUUUGGAAACGAAAGCUAAUACCUGAUAUUAUGAUUAUAUGGCAUCGUAUGAUUAUGAAAGCUAUAUGCGCUGUGAGAGAGCUUUGCGUCCCAUUAGCUAGUUGGAGAGGUAACGGCUCGCCAAGGCGAUGAUGGGUAGCCGGCCUGAGAGGGUGAUCGGCCACAAGGGGACUGAGACACGGCCCUUACUCCUACGGGAGGCAGCAGUGGGGAAUAUUGGACAAUGGACCAAGAGUCUGAUCCAGCAAUUCUGUGUGCACGAUGAAGUUUUUCGGAAUGUAAAGUGCUUUCAGUUGGGAAGAAAAAAAUGACGGUACCAACAGAAGAAGUGACGGCUAAAUACGUGCCAGCAGCCGCGGUAAU